GGGCUUGUAGUUCAACGGUUAGAACAGGUGUCUUAUAAACACCAGACCCAGGUUCAACUCCUGGCUAGCCCA
RNAcentral lists this transfer RNA (72 nucleotides) under Candidatus Curtissbacteria bacterium RBG_13_35_7. Its description in RNAcentral is "tRNA-Ile". It matches the Rfam family "tRNA". Rfam says of the family: Transfer RNA (tRNA) molecules are approximately 80 nucleotides in length. Lineage: Bacteria; Candidatus Curtissiibacteriota. The record is from RNAcentral.